AAUUUUUUAGUUUAUAUAAAAUAUCUACUUUGGAUGUAGAAGAUACUUUAAAAUUA
Molecule: transfer RNA, 56 nt
Filed under: Neoscona adianta
Lineage: Eukaryota; Metazoa; Arthropoda; Arachnida; Araneae; Araneidae
Description: tRNA-Pro
Source: RNAcentral